CAACAACAACAAACCCAGUGUAUUCUCACAUAGUGAGGUCUGGGGAGGGUAAGAUGUACGUAGUCCAUACCUCUACCUCUAAAGAAGUAGAAAGGUUGUUUCCGAUAGACCUCCGGCUCGAGACACGGAAUACUACACAAAUACAUAGUAAAGCAUGGAACAAGAUGGCAUAACAUAAAUACGACACCCACAAGUAAUAGAAAACAGAGAAAAGUAAACAGAUUCGUAAUAAAGCAUGAAACAAGGUAUCAUAACAAGAAUAAUACCCCCACUAAGUAAUUCUCUACACUAGCGACCCAAACUGACCCUGGCCUUCUGCCCUAAUUCGCGUCCUCCAGAUCUUCCUAUCUAGGGUCAUGUCCUCAGUGAGCUGUAACUGCUUCAUGUCCCGCCUAAUCACCUCUCCCCAGU
RNAcentral lists this long non-coding RNA (411 nucleotides) under Capsicum annuum. RNAcentral describes it as "long non-coding RNA (CANN_LNC018342)". The record is from RNAcentral. Lineage: Eukaryota; Viridiplantae; Streptophyta; Magnoliopsida; Solanales; Solanaceae.